GAGCACGUUGCGCAGGAAGUUCAUCCUCCUCUUUGACAGGCACCCGGUGGAGGCUGGAAGGUUGGGAGCCUUAACGGGAUUCCCCCGAGAUCCUGAGCAUUCCCUGGUGCAAAUGAAUGAGCGAUAAAAAAAAUAGCCAAUGGUAAAAUGAAACAAAUACACACAUAACACAGACAUGUGCAAGCUGUUUUACCUUGCGGCGGCCAUCAAAACAAAUACUUGGAAUAAAUUUCAGCCUGAAACAAUACAGAAGUACUUCAAGAAAGCUAGAUUUGUUACAACUCAUGAGCAAGAUAUUGCAGCCCCACUAGGCAGCCUACCUCCCAUGGUGGAAUUUGAGUAGAUUUUGAAGACAUUAUUGCAAUGGAUGACGAUGUGGCAAUCUGCAAUGGACCUGACCUAGAAGCAAUUUUCCAAUAAGUAUUGACCAAGGUACAACCCAGCGGAAAAGUGCUGGAAGCAAUUGAUGAAGCAGAAGAAUUAAGUGAAAAUUAGGUGAGGACAGUGAAAUUGCAGACAUUGUCUGCAGAUAAAUUGCAGACAAAAGAGGAUGUCAGUCAUUUGAUAAUGUUAAAGUCAUUUGCUAUGGAAAAAUGCCCAGGUAUUCUGAGCGAUAUAGCCAGCAUUAAGAGUGCUUUCUCCUCCUACCUUCAUAAAAAGAAUAAGAAACAUACUUUUUUUUCAAAUGAACAAACCGUAAGAAAACCAUACGUAAAUCUAUUGAUUUUGUAUAUUGUAUGAAUGAUUUUCCUGUUUUCACUGUGUUUCUAUGUGAGAUUCUCUAAUAAAAGUUGUACAAUAAAA
Long non-coding RNA from Crotalus tigris (Tiger rattlesnake), 804 nucleotides. RefSeq lists it as uncharacterized. Lineage: Eukaryota; Metazoa; Chordata; Lepidosauria; Squamata; Viperidae. The record is from RefSeq and is a predicted model, not a curated record. The transcript is spliced from 2 exons.